GUGAAAUUCUUUCGCAUACAUCCGAUAAAAUUGGAACGAUACAAAGAAGAUUAUUAUGGCCUUUGCGCAAGGAUAGUAUGCACAAAUAAAAAAAUGGUCUAAAUUUAU
Brassica napus (rape) is the source of this 108-nucleotide non-coding RNA. Lineage: Eukaryota; Viridiplantae; Streptophyta; Magnoliopsida; Brassicales; Brassicaceae. The record is from Rfam.